AUGGAGAGCAGGGGUGGACAGCGGGAAGCGGUGCGUGUCCUCCACCCGCUGGCUGCCACCGUCCAAGUCCCCUCACUCACGGUGGAGAGGCUACGGCGGAGGGGAUGCAGAGGAGGAGCGGGGCUCGUGGAGGAGGAGAGAACGUGGCCAAGGGAGGCCGUGGAGGAGGAGGGGACGCGGUGGCGGGAGCUCGCCAUGGUGGAGGAGAGUCCGUGGCGGUGGAACAGAGCUUGCGUCUGUGCGGGCGGCCGAGAGGCUGGGAAGGCCGGGCCCGCGCCCUCCUCCCAUGCUCUCCCCGCAGAUCAGGGCCCCGCCGGUGAGGUCUUCACGGCCAAGGCCGAGGAGAAGGGAAGAACCACGGUGGGAGGAAGGAGCAGCGAGGCUAGAGCGGUGCCGUCGUGGUGGAGUGGACCUGCAGGUGGGUUCUCUACUGGUGGUGUUAGAGAUUUCAAGGAUUGUUCAAUCUGGUUUCAGGAGUGUGUGCUGCUCCUAUAA
RNAcentral lists this ribosomal RNA (495 nucleotides) under Triticum aestivum (bread wheat). RNAcentral's name for it is "partial small subunit ribosomal RNA". The record is from RNAcentral. Lineage: Eukaryota; Viridiplantae; Streptophyta; Magnoliopsida; Poales; Poaceae.